Molecule: transfer RNA, 72 nt
Organism: Camelus ferus (Wild Bactrian camel)
Lineage: Eukaryota; Metazoa; Chordata; Mammalia; Artiodactyla; Camelidae
Rfam family: tRNA
About the family: Transfer RNA (tRNA) molecules are approximately 80 nucleotides in length.
Source: Rfam
GAGGGUAUAGCUCAGUGGCAGAGUGCAUGACUAGCAUGCAGGAUGUCCUGGGUUCAAUCCCCAGUACCUCCA